GCCUAACACAUGCAAGUCGAGCGGCAGCGACAACAUUGAACCUUCGGGGGAUUUGUUGGGCGGCGAGCGGCGGACGGGUGAGUAAUGCCUGGGAAUAUGCCUUAGUGUGGGGGAUAACUAUUGGAAACGAUAGCUAAUACCGCAUAAUGCCUACGGGCCAAAGAGGGGGACCUUCGGGCCUCUCGCGCUAAGAUUAGCCCAGGUGGGAUUAGCUAGUUGGUGGGGUAAAGGCUCACCAAGGCGACGAUCCCUAGCUGGUCUGAGAGGAUGAUCAGCCACACUGGAACUGAGACACGGUCCAGACUCCUACGGGAGGCAGCAGUGGGGAAUAUUGCACAAUGGGGGAAACCCUGAUGCAGCCAUGCCGCGUGUAUGAAGAAGGCCUUCGGGUUGUAAAGUACUUUCAGUCGUGAGGAAGGUUGUGUAGUUAAUAGACUGCACAUUUGUNCGUUAGCGACAGAAGAAGCACC
RNAcentral lists this ribosomal RNA (470 nucleotides) under uncultured Gammaproteobacteria bacterium. RNAcentral describes it as "bacterial SSU rRNA". It matches the Rfam family "Bacterial small subunit ribosomal RNA", at positions 46 to 494 of the family's 1533-position model. The record is from RNAcentral. Lineage: Bacteria; Pseudomonadati; Pseudomonadota; Gammaproteobacteria.